Molecule: ribosomal RNA, 440 nt
Filed under: uncultured bacterium
Lineage: Bacteria
Description: partial 16S ribosomal RNA
Rfam family: Bacterial small subunit ribosomal RNA
Source: RNAcentral
CCUACGGGAGGCAGCAGUGGGGCAUAUUGCACAAUGGGGGAAACCCUGAUGCAGCGACGCCGCGUGAAUGAAGAAGUACUUCGUUAUGUAAAGCUCUAUCAGCAGGGAAGAAAAUGACGGUACCUGAGUAAGAAGCCCGGGCUACCUACGUGCCAGCAGCCGCGGUAAUACGUCGGGGGGACGCGUUAACCGGAUUUACUGGGGGUAAAGGGCUCGUAGACGGGAGUGCAAGUCUAGAGUGAAAGGUGGGGGCUCAACCCCCGGACUGCUCUGGAAACUGUACGGCUGGAGUGCAGGAGAGGUAAGUGGAAUUCCUAGUGUAGCGGUGAAAGGCGUAGAUAUUAGGCGGAACACCAGUGGCGAAGGCGGCUUACUGGACUGUAACUGACGUUGAGGCUCGAAAGCGUGGGGAGCAAACAGGAUUAGAUACCCGAGUAGUC